CAGCGGUUCUGCGGGAGCCCCACCGGGGGCUGAGAGGGCGUCCAGCGCCGACCGCCACACCUGAUGCGGGUCAUGCCGCCGGAGGAAAGGACGUUCCCUGUGAC
RNAcentral lists this non-coding RNA (104 nucleotides) under Kocuria rosea subsp. polaris. Its description in RNAcentral is "Kocuria polaris TPP sequence". It matches the Rfam family "TPP riboswitch aptamer (THI element)". Rfam says of the family: Vitamin B(1) in its active form thiamin pyrophosphate (TPP) is an essential coenzyme that is synthesised by coupling of pyrimidine and thiazole moieties in bacteria. The previously detected thiamin-regulatory element, thi box was extended, resulting in a new, highly conserved RNA secondary structure, the THI element, which is widely distributed in eubacteria and also occurs in some archaea. Lineage: Bacteria; Bacillati; Actinomycetota; Actinomycetes; Micrococcales; Micrococcaceae. The record is from RNAcentral.